This 30-nucleotide non-coding RNA is filed under the name Rattus norvegicus (Norway rat). Lineage: Eukaryota; Metazoa; Chordata; Mammalia; Rodentia; Muridae. The record is from RNAcentral.
UAAGUCUCAAUUUUCUCAGGAAUCUACUUC